RNAcentral lists this ribosomal RNA (431 nucleotides) under uncultured soil bacterium. Its description in RNAcentral is "bacterial SSU rRNA". It matches the Rfam family "Bacterial small subunit ribosomal RNA", at positions 950 to 1393 of the family's 1533-position model. The record is from RNAcentral.
CACGGGGGGAACGCGAAGAACCUUACCAGGGAUUGACAUGACGGUAGUAGUGAAGCGAAAGCGGAACGACCCUUCGGGGAGCCGUCACAGGUGAUGCAUGGCUGUCGUCAGCUCGUGCCGUGAGGUGUUUGGUUAAGUCCACUAACGAGCGCAACCCUUAGCCCCAGUUAUACGUGUCUGGUGCGACUGCCGGUAUUAAGCCGGAGGAAGGUGGGGAUGACGUCAAAUCAGCAUGUCCUUUAUACCCUGGGCGACACACACGCUACAAUGGCCAGUACAGUGGGUUGCCAAGCCGCGAGGCGGAGCCAAUCCUAAAAAGCUGGUCUCAGUUCGGAUUGCAGGCUGCAACCCGCCUGCAUGAAGUCGGAGUUGCUAGUAACCGCAGGACAGCUAUACUGCGGUGAAUACGUUCCCGGGUCUUGUACACACGC